This 65-nucleotide transfer RNA is filed under the name Dipodomys ordii (Ord's kangaroo rat). It matches the Rfam family "tRNA". Rfam says of the family: Transfer RNA (tRNA) molecules are approximately 80 nucleotides in length. Lineage: Eukaryota; Metazoa; Chordata; Mammalia; Rodentia; Heteromyidae. The record is from Rfam by way of RNAcentral.
GGUGGCUUAGUGGUAGAGUGCUUGUCUUGCAUGCAUGAGGCUCUGGGUUCAAUUCCUCAGCACCA